Molecule: ribosomal RNA, 254 nt
Filed under: uncultured bacterium
Lineage: Bacteria
Description: partial 16S ribosomal RNA
Rfam family: Bacterial small subunit ribosomal RNA
Source: RNAcentral
CACGUAGGCACCAAGCGUUAUCCGGAUUUAUUGGGCGUAAAGAGCUCGUAGGCGGUUCAGUCAGUCGGGUGUGAAAACUUGAGGCUUAACCUCAAGAGGUCACUCGAUACUGCUGUGACUAGAGUGCGGUAGGGGAGCGGGGAAUUCCUGGUGUAGCGGUGAAAUGCGCAGAUAUCAGGAGGAACACCAAUGGCGAAGGCAGAUCUCUGGGCCGCAACUGACGCUGAGGAGCGAAAGCAUGGGGAGCAAACAGG